UGGGGAAUUUUGGACAAUGGGGGCAACCCUGAUCCAGCCAUGCCGCGUGUGUGAAGAAGGCCUUCGGGUUGUAAAGCACUUUCGGACGGAACGAAAUCGCGCGGGAGAAUAUCCCGCGUGGAUGACGGUACCGUAAGAAGAAGCACCGGCUAACUACGUGCCAGCAGCCGCGGUAAUACGUAGGGUGCGAGCGUUAAUCGGAAUUACUGGGCGUAAAGUGUGCGCAGGCGGUCUCGCAAGUCAGGCGUGAAAGCCCCGGGCUUAACUUGGGAACGGCGCUUGAAACUACGAGGCUUGAGUGUGGCAGAGGGAGAUGGAAUUCCACGUGUAGCGGUGAAAUGCGUAGAGAUGUGGAGGAACACCGAUGGCGAAGGCAGUCUCCUGGGCCAACACUGACGCUCAUGCACGAAAGCGUGGGGAGCAAACAGG
RNAcentral lists this ribosomal RNA (429 nucleotides) under uncultured beta proteobacterium. RNAcentral's name for it is "bacterial SSU rRNA". It matches the Rfam family "Bacterial small subunit ribosomal RNA", at positions 355 to 776 of the family's 1533-position model. Lineage: Bacteria; Pseudomonadati; Pseudomonadota; Betaproteobacteria. The record is from RNAcentral.